UAGAGAAUAUUUCUAUUUUCAGCCUC
RNAcentral lists this non-coding RNA (26 nucleotides) under Mus musculus (house mouse). Lineage: Eukaryota; Metazoa; Chordata; Mammalia; Rodentia; Muridae. The record is from RNAcentral.